GUGCCAGCAGCCGCGGUAAUACAGAGGUCCCAAGCGUUGUUCGGAUUCACUGGGCGUAAAGGGUGCGCAGGUGGCGUUUCAAGUUUGAUGUGAAAGCUUCGGGCUCAACCCGGAAAUGGCAUUGAAUACUGGAGUGCUGGAGGUUUGGAGGGGGGACUGGAAUUCUCGGUGUAGCAGUGAAAUGCGUAGAUAUCGAGAGGAACACCAGUGGCGAAGGCGAGUCCCUGGACAACACCUGACACUGAGGCACGAAAGCUAGGGGAGCAAACAGGAUUAGAAACCCCAGUAGUCC
This 292-nucleotide ribosomal RNA is filed under the name uncultured bacterium. Its description in RNAcentral is "partial 16S ribosomal RNA". It matches the Rfam family "Bacterial small subunit ribosomal RNA", at positions 505 to 796 of the family's 1533-position model. The record is from RNAcentral.